Long non-coding RNA from Cyprinodon tularosa, 521 nucleotides. RefSeq lists it as uncharacterized. The transcript has 2 exons. NCBI's taxonomy places the organism in Eukaryota, Metazoa, Chordata, Actinopteri, Cyprinodontiformes, Cyprinodontidae. The record is from RefSeq and is a predicted model, not a curated record.
UCAAUUCGCAGGCUGCGUACUUGGUAGUACGCAAUUUGAGGCCGGUGACGUCACAACGCUGCGCGGAGGCCGUCCCAUUUGGCAAAAAUUCUGAGGACGCUUAAAAUGCAGCCUCAAAAUGCGUCCUCAUUUUCCCCGAAUUCUGAGGAUGCAUCGCUACCGUCCUUAGUGGCCUCGCCUCCCACUAGAUUUCCCGAGGUGCUUUGCGCGCUUCUUUUUUUUUUUUUUUGUAGUUGAAGAAGAAGAAGAAAAAGAAGAAGAAAGUCGGAUUUUCUUCAAGUUACGGACAAACGAAAGCAGCAGCAGCGCCGACAGUAGUGCGGAGAACACCUUUAAAUGGAGCAGACAGAGGAGUGGAUAAAAUGACCACCUCAUCAUCGGGGCCAAAGAUACUGCUGCAGUCGGAUGGAGGGAAGAGUUGAGGCAGAAUUCCAUCUACAUGUUGCAUUUCUAUGUAAAAGUCACACAAGUUAAAAGAAGUCCUGUUCAAACACCAACGUACAAAUAUAAUCUUUUGAUCA